AGAGAAGGAGCAGGACCCCCGCCUCAUCCCGGUCCCUGCCAACAGCUACUUUGGUAGGGACCUCUCCCCGGCCCAGAACUGCUCUAAACCUCUGCUCCUCUCUCUUGUCCUCCCUCUCCCUGCUCCCAUCCUUCUGUCUCUGUUUCUGUCUCUCACCUUGUCUCUCUCUGUCUUUCUGUCUCUGGCUGUGAUCUCUCUGGUCUCUUUUUCUCUCUCUGCCUCUUCUUCUUCCACCAUUUUCUGGCCUUUCUGUGGCUCUGUCUCCCUACUCUGUGGCACCUCCUCUGGAUGUCUCCUCCCUGGUGUCUCACCCCACCCCCCACAGGGUUGCUUUUUGUGACCAACAUUGAUAGCUCAGACCCCGACCAGCUGGUGUAUAAAACUUUGGACCCUGCUGACCGGCUCCCAGGACCAGCCGGAGACUUGGCCCUCAAUAGCUACUUAGGCUUCUCUAUUGACUCGGGGAAAGGUCUGGUGCAUGCAGAAGAGCUGAGCUUUGUGGCUGGAGCCCCCCGUGCCAACCACAAGGGUGCAGUGGUCAUCCUGCGCAAGGACAGCGCCAGUCGCCUGGUGCCCGAGGUUAUGCUGUCUGGGGAGCGCCUGACCUCUGGCUUCGGCUACUCACUGGCUGUGGCUGACCUCAACAGUGAUGGCUGGCCAGACCUGAUAGUGGGUGCCCCCUACUUCUUUGAGCGCCAAGAAGAACU
Molecule: small RNA, 707 nt
Filed under: Pongo abelii (Sumatran orangutan)
Lineage: Eukaryota; Metazoa; Chordata; Mammalia; Primates; Hominidae
Description: retained intron
Source: RNAcentral